GUAAGAAAUUGGCAGGGCUCUACAGCCAUGAUCUUUGCUAUUCAAAGUUUAUUGUUCUGCUGAGAAAAACCUUGAGGAUUCCACAUCCCAAAGCAAUGAUGUGAAAAUCAAGUACUUGAUCCUUUCUUCCUAUGCCAUGCCAAGAGAAAUCCCUUCCAAACUGCUCUGCAGGAUGGAUAUGAGACCAGCUGAGUUGUGCCACUGUCCCUGGGACUGCCUGGAGAUGCUCAGUGUAACCAUGGCUCAUGGAAAAGAGGGGCAGAAGAGGCUUUUCAGCACUUCUGGAAAUGAAGGGGAAGAAGGAGCACCCUCCUGAGCACCUCUAAUGGCACAGUCUGAAGGUGGCUGAGCUAGAGCUGUCAGGUUUGCUGUGCUCUUGUUCAGCCCUCCCACAUCUGCCCUGAUGUUGCUCAGGAGGACAAGGAAGGCUGCUGGACAGCAUCACUUCAGCUGCCCAGCACUCUCACCACACUGAGCAAUCAGCAACCUGAACCUUGCACAGAAACAGCUG
This 511-nucleotide long non-coding RNA is filed under the name Serinus canaria (Common canary). RNAcentral describes it as "lncRNA (ENSSCAG00000011888.1)". Lineage: Eukaryota; Metazoa; Chordata; Aves; Passeriformes; Fringillidae. The record is from RNAcentral.